RNAcentral lists this ribosomal RNA (253 nucleotides) under uncultured bacterium. Its description in RNAcentral is "partial 16S ribosomal RNA". It matches the Rfam family "Bacterial small subunit ribosomal RNA", at positions 524 to 776 of the family's 1533-position model. The record is from RNAcentral.
UACGUAGGUGACAAGCGUUGUCCGGAUUUACUGGGCGUAAAGAGCGCGCAGGCGGUCGUUCAAGUCGAGUGUGAAAGCCCCCGGCUCAACUGGGGAGGGUCAUUCGAUACUGAUCGACUCGAAGGCAGGAGAGGGUAGUGGAAUUCCCGGUGUAGUGGUGAAAUGCGUAGAUAUCGGGAGGAACACCAGUGGCGAAGGCGACUACCUGGCCUGUUCUUGACGCUGAGGCGCGAAAGCUAGGGGAACAAACGGG